CCUACGGGAGGCAGCAGUGAGGAAUCUUGGUCAAUGGACGAGAGUCUGAACCAGCCAAGUAGCGUGAAGGAUUACUGCCCUAUGGGUUGUAAACUUCUUUUAUAUGGGAAUAAAACGUUCCACGUGUGGGAUUUUGUAUGUACCAUAUGAAUAAGGAUCGGCUAACUCCGUGCCAGCAGCCGCGGUAAUACGUGGGAUCCGAGCGUUAUCCGGAUUUGUUGGGUUUAAAGGGAGCGUAGGUGGAUUGUUAAGCUAGGUGUGAAAGUUUGCGGCUCAACCGUAAAAUUGCAGUUGAAACUGGCAGUCUUGAGUACAGUAGAGGUGGGCGGAAUUCGUGGUGUAGCGGUGAAAUGCUUAGAUAUCACGAAGAACUCCGAUUGCGAAGGCAGUUCACUGGACUGCAACUGACACUGAGGCUCGAAAGUGUGGGUAUCAAACAGGAUUAGAUACCCGAGUAGUC
This 460-nucleotide ribosomal RNA is filed under the name uncultured bacterium. Its description in RNAcentral is "partial 16S ribosomal RNA". It matches the Rfam family "Bacterial small subunit ribosomal RNA", at positions 338 to 795 of the family's 1533-position model. The record is from RNAcentral.